This is a long non-coding RNA of Zophobas morio, 524 nucleotides long. RefSeq lists it as uncharacterized. The transcript has 4 exons. Lineage: Eukaryota; Metazoa; Arthropoda; Insecta; Coleoptera; Tenebrionidae. The record is from RefSeq and is a predicted model, not a curated record.
AACGUAAUUGCCUCGUUCGAAGGGACAUCUGGCAAAAUUAACCCGUUCCUUGACUAUCUGGAGACAACGCGCUGGAGAAUAAUACUUAAGAGAACCAGAUCUCAGUGAGUGAGUACAAGCAAGAAAUUAAAUUUAAUAAUAGGACUUAGGACCACAGUUUACCAUCUGCUAGUAACUCCAAAUUUCAAAAACAAGUAGAGAACCAGAUCUCAGUGAGUGAGUACAAGCAAGAAAUUAAAUUUAAUAAUAGGACCACAGUUUACUAUCUGCUAGUUAUUCCAAAUUUCAAAAACAAGUAGUUAGGUGAAAAACGUCGUCUAGACAGCUAUGGAAUUUAUUUUUUUACCCAUGACAACUGUUGUUCAUCGACCUUGUGAUAACCCAAACAUCCCGCCUUAAAUUGACAUGUGAAAAAGAAUUAAAAGCCCGCGAAAAUUAAAAAAUUUUGCCUUGGCUGUGAUCGUCGUACAAAAUGUAACCCCACAUUGCGUUUUGAAAAAUGGCGGGGUGCGUUCAGAUGCAAA